This is a non-coding RNA of Macaca mulatta (Rhesus monkey), 3718 nucleotides long. NCBI's taxonomy places the organism in Eukaryota, Metazoa, Chordata, Mammalia, Primates, Cercopithecidae. The record is from RefSeq and is a predicted model, not a curated record.
UUUUUUUUUUUUUUUUUUUUUGGUACUCCCCUGUCUAGCUGAUUGGGGAAACCCAUGAGGUCAUAGGAGUGAGCUGAUGCAGAGGUGUUAGGGUGAGAGAAGGAAGUGAUACAGGGAACUUGAGCACCUGUCCAUGGAAAAGAAACAGCUUAAAUUCAGUCCCCAGAGUAACAUCUCCAUUCUAAUGUUGAGUGGUGCUGAAACUUACCUGACCUUAAAAAUUGGUGAGAAUGACAUUCCCAGUUUAUGAGGGGCAGUUUAGCCACACAACUACUUAAUUCCUCAUAAGCAUGUCUAUCAGGACCCUGUGACAUUAUGGAAGCUUCAUUUUGAACAGUACAGUUUUGGGGUUUCGAUUUCUUUCCUUGUUUUCUGGGCAUUUCAUGGUCUUGCUCUAGAACCCUAGAGAUUUCUGCUGUGACUGUUUUUUUUUUUAUUUUGAAGUUUGCAAGAGAGUUCACAAAGUGCCCCUAUCUAAUGCAGAUGCAUCUAGCACCAAGCUGUGUGCUGGAUCAUUUGUCUCAGGUGACAGAGCCACUUGUAUCAAAACCCAAAACCUGCAUCAAAACCUUUCCCUUCUCUGAGCUAACUCCAAAGAGAUAGCCUUCCAAGUUAGUUUAAUAAAUGGGAUGAUGUAGUUGACCCAGGCAUGGAAUUUGUUGUGUCAACACUCUAGUGAGGCCUUAUCAACACUGUGCUGCAUUCUCAGUGGUCGGAGAUGUAAGGUGCAAUUAUUUGUCCUUGCCUUGAAGAGGAUGACUCACAUUCCUUUCCUAAAGAUGACAUCUUCCCCAGUAUGACAGGCUUUUCAAAUUUGGGGGAUUGCUUUUCACCCUCUAGAGCACAUGUGUUUUCACAAUAAAUCCAGAGUCCUUAUAAUGUCCAGUUCAUCAUGUCUAAUCAAGAUGGUGACAUCAAUAUAGUGCUAUAUAGAGUGAUACUUUGUGAAGUGUCCACAGGAUCAAAGUUUCUUCAGCCCUCAUUGUGACAAAGAGCAGGAGAGUUAACAAAGCCCUGGGCCAAGACUGUGGAUGUGAGUGGCUGUUCACCCCAGAUGACUGCAGACCCUCCCACAGGCUGUGAUGGACUCUGCCUUCACUCUGCAGGUGGGCCCUGGGUGUGGUCAAGCCCUGCUGGAGCCACAGCAUCGCUCAUCUGCAGGUGGCAGCUGAGGGCGCCUCUCACCCUCACAGAAGGGGCGGGGAGGGCACUCUUCUGACAACAGUGAUGUCUGUGUAUUUAAACCCAUAUGGGGUCAUCCUCAUAAUUGCAUAUAUCAUUCUUCUUACAUUGAAGUGGUCCUAUAUGUUAUAACAGACUAUUUCUCAGAAUGUGGCAUGAGCAAAACUGACAAGUCAAGGCAGCAAGAUGUUGCCAUCACAACUCCUUGGGUUUCUGCUGCUCUGGGAUCUAGGUGAGAAUAUUUCCACAAAGCUAGAUGGGGAUAUAAUUUCAAUCCAUAAUUUUGGGAACCCUGCACUGUGUGAAUUUUGGUUUGCUUUUUAUAUCCACAAUUUUAAUUCAUUUUCUUUCCUGUUGCCUAACUACAUUAGUGGUGACUUCCACAUACAUAGAGUUCUGCUGUGCUAAUGUUUGCUGUGUAUUUUCAGUCUCCAGGUGUGAGGUUGUGCUGACCUAGGCUCCAACCUUCCUGUCUGUUACUCCAGGGGAGACAGUCACCAUCACCUGCUGGAUGCCAGUGGCAACAUUGUGUGGACCCUGUCUCCAGCCCCUAUCCCUGUGUCCCAGGUGAGAGGGUCACCAGCUGGGCUGACCAGGGUAUGAACAGCAUCCUAGUCCAGCUUCAGCGGAACUGAGGCCUGGUUCUGAGCUCCUGAUGCCCCCUGGAGACCAUGCCUGCUCUGGUCAUUCUGGCUAUCAGCAUCCAGACUGCCUUCAGGGGGCAUGUGCCCCCUCCUCCUGUCAUUACUGGUACACAAAUCUCACCCCAGCUGCUCAUCUGCCUGGGGUCUGCUGAAGAUCUGGGGCCUUCUCAGUGGAGCAGAAUGGGAGGCAGCUCUGAAACCACAAACUCCCUUCUCUUCCCACCUACUUCCCACCUUCUGUAUGGGAACUUCCAGUGCAUCUGGUGAGCAUCACGGAGUGGAGAAUGUCAAUGUGUUUUCUCCCACAUCCUGCUCUGAAUUUAUGAGGCCAAUUCAUCCUCACCUCACACACGAGCUGCCCUUGUCUUCAGGGAUUCGAUCCUUGUUUCUCUCACAUCCUGGCACAGUGUUGACAGCUUAGUUCUCACUUCACUCCAUGAAUCCUUUGGGAAACAUCAUGGUCAACAAAUCGUGGUGCUUGGAUAACAGACAAUAAAAUAACAAGUAUUCAGAAGUUUGUGCAUGGGGGAGAAAUGACCCAUUCUGAACAGUGUCUCAAUAGCUGGGUGAGCCAUAGAAGCUGGUUAGAGAGAUCCCAUAUGGCUCCAAUCAAAGGGGAGGCUGCUAACGAGCUGUGGGGUGCUUUUGUCCUGUGAUCACCCCUGUAAUCCUGUCUUAUAAGCCACAUAUGACCUAAUUCUAUGAGCCACAUGUGCUGCUCUGUCCAUCAGGGGCCCAGGGGAGGAAAAGUCCACGGUAAGCUCUGGGCACAAAACAUCCCUCUACCGGGAGCCGAGGCCCACUCCCUACCUCCUCCGCACCUGCUGCUUCAUGUUCUCCAGACUCCCAUUGAAUCUCUCAGCAUCCAAAGCCAUCUAUGAGUCAGUGCUUGACCCAGCAAGGAAAUGAGGGGGGUUCUGAGCCUCCUGACCUUUGGGCUCUGUAGUGGGGAAGGGGCCAUGGGGUGGGGCACCAUUGCUGGGUUUUCAUGUUCAAGCUCAACUUAUCAAAGUUUAAAACCAUACCUUAGAACAACAAUUAAUAUUAUAUUUAUUUACAUGAAAUGGCAUAUUAUAUUUAUUAUGUAUGCACAGUAUAUACAAAUGUAUUAAUACAACUUAUAUCUGAAAUGUCAUAGAUAUAUAUUUAAUUUGUAAGGUAUGUUACAAAUACAUAUAUACAGGUACAAAUAAUUUACUUUUAUUUAUUUAGCAUGUGCUUCCUUUCCUUCUAACUAUAACAGAGUCUGGCUGAGUAAAGACUCUGGAGACGUUGGAUGACCCUCCCUCCUUUGCACUAGCAGGGUCCCCGCCACUCAGUAUCAGUGAGGACAAGACUGAGGAGAGCUGGCCUAGGAUCCCAGGCCCUGCCCCAUGGUUUUUGUCUCUUACACUUUUACCCUGGAUGCAGGGUUCCUGACAGAGGUUGCAUUUGGAAGGUUUACAAAGAAAGGCUUCCAGAGUGUUAGUUCUGGAUUCUGAGGAGGGUAAGUGGAAGGUGGGUCUGGAUUUCCAGCAUGGAGGAGGCCAGACCAAGUCUUAGGAAAGGCUCUAGUGUGGGAAGAAAGGACUUAAAACUCAGACCUGUGGCCACAGCCUUAGGAACCCAAGAGUGGACACUAACAAAAUGGGCUCGGGGAAAACGCAGACUAAAGAUGUUAUAGUCAACUGUAAUCUUAUCUUUCAAAUGCUACACAUAAAUAUUGGUGGGAGAUUUUAUGGUGAAAAUAACACACAAUGAGCCCCACUGCCUACAGUCAGUUACCUGUUUGUUGUAGAAUAACUAUUGAAAAAUUUGAUUUUAAAUCACAUCUGGCUACUAACAUAUUGCACAGCCUCUUAAUUCUAUGAUACUCAAGAGUGCAUAAAAUAAAAAGGGACUGGAGAUAUAUA